Long non-coding RNA from Xenopus laevis (African clawed frog), 615 nucleotides. RefSeq lists it as uncharacterized. NCBI's taxonomy places the organism in Eukaryota, Metazoa, Chordata, Amphibia, Anura, Pipidae. The transcript is spliced from 2 exons. The record is from RefSeq and is a predicted model, not a curated record.
GGGGAUAAAAAAACUCAGGAGGCGGAGGCUAUAAAUAGCUCCGAGACAGAGAAAAGAGACAUCGAAGAGAGCGAACAGAUUUACAUGCAAAACAUUAGGCGUGAAAGGCUCUUACAGUUUUCACAAGCAGAAAUUUUAAAAAAUCCUGUUCAAUCAAAAUCUACAAAGAAGCAAGAAAUGUGUGGACUUAAAUGCCCAGCAAAGGGAAAGCAAAGAAGUGGAAUAGUACAAACUAUAGGCAGCCACACAAGCCAAUUUCCCAGCCAGCCCAUCAUUGUGCCUGAGGAUGGAACGACGCCAGUGGCAAAAUAAAUGGAUCGCAAAGGAAGUGGCAGGAAGCUUUUGGCUCCUGCUUCUUCUCAGUUGGCAAGUGCACAACCUCAAUCUUUCCAGACAUUCUAACACCAAUCAGAUGGGAUCACUUAACGGAACUCUGUCAGUCUCAACCCAUAGAUGGAGUGUCCUGCAUAUAUUGGUAGGGUUGACUUGUAUACUAAUGAUAUAGGGUAAAUAUUAUGCCAUAGACAUAACAAAAGUAACACACGCAAUUUCUGAAGGUGUGCCACAGAAUGUAACAAAUUAAAUAAAUACAUGAAAUUGCUUUUCUUUUUGUCA